AAUAAGCGGAGGAAAAGAAACCAACAGGGAUUGCCCCAGUAACGGCGAGUGAAGCGGCAACAGCUCAAAUUUGAAAUCUGGCCCCGGGCCCGAGUUGUAAUUUGCAGAGGAUGCUUUUGGUGACGCGCCUACCGAGUCCCCUGGAACGGGGCGCCACAGAGGGUGAGAGCCCCGUAUGGUUUGACGCCGAGCCUCUGUAAAGCUCCUUCGACGAGUCGAGUAGUUUGGGAAUGCUGCUCUAAAUGGGAGGUAAAUUUCUUCUAAAGCUAAAUACCGGCCAGAGACCGAUAGCGCACAAGUAGAGUGAUCGAAAGAUGAAAAGCACUUUGAAAAGAGGGUUAAAUAGCACGUGAAAUUGUUGAAAGGGAAGCGCUCGUGACCAGACUUGCGCCGGGCGGAUCAUCCAGCGUUCUCGCUGGUGCACUCCGCCCGGCUCAGGCCAGCAUCGGUUUUCGCCGGGGGACAAAAGCACCGGGAAUGUGGCUCCCCUCGGGGAGUGUUAUAGCCCGGCGCGCAAUACCCCGGCGGGGACCGAGGACCGCGCUUCGGCAAGGAUGCUGGCGUAAUGGUCAUCAGCGACCCGUCUUGAAACACGGACCGAGGAGUCAAGCAUUAGUGCGAGUGUUUGGGUGUAAAACCCGCACGCGUAAUGAAAGUGAACGUAGGUGAGAGCUUCGGCGCAUCAUCGACCGAUCCUGAUGUUUUCGGAUGGAUUUGAGUAGGAGCAUUAACGCUUGGACCCGAAAGAUGGUGAACUAUACUUGAAUAGGGUGAAGCCAGAGGAAACUCUGGUGGAGGCUCGCAGCGGUUCUGACGUGCAAAUCGAUCGUCAAAUUUGAGUAUAGGGGCGAAAGACUAAUCGAACCAUCUAGUAGCUGGUACCGCA
RNAcentral lists this ribosomal RNA (886 nucleotides) under Magnaporthiopsis poae. RNAcentral's name for it is "eukaryotic LSU rRNA". It matches the Rfam family "Eukaryotic large subunit ribosomal RNA", at positions 45 to 961 of the family's 3401-position model. The record is from RNAcentral. Lineage: Eukaryota; Fungi; Ascomycota; Sordariomycetes; Magnaporthales; Magnaporthaceae.